This 416-nucleotide long non-coding RNA is filed under the name Dromaius novaehollandiae (emu). Its description in RNAcentral is "lncRNA (ENSDNVG00000006215.1)". Lineage: Eukaryota; Metazoa; Chordata; Aves; Casuariiformes; Dromaiidae. The record is from RNAcentral.
CGGGCGGCUGCGCGCGCGGGGCGGCCCCAGGCGGGCGGUGUAGCGGGGCAGGAGCAGAGCGCCGGGUUUAAAAGAGAAGGGAGGGACGGCUAGAAACCGCGGGAUGCGGCGCGCCAGGCUCGCGCCUCGAGGUGAAUAUGGUGCUCUUGCAGUUGUGCUAUUGGUAAGAAUGAGUCUGAGAGCUUUGCCUGACCGAGGACUGCAGGAUUCACUUUGCAUUUUAUUGCUUCUUGAAAGCAUGUGUUGUACGAACAAGUGAGCUUAAUCAGAAUGUAGAGCUGAGAGAAACUGAACAGAUGGGAGUGGGAGAUGAAAUGACAAGCCAGCGCAGACAGUGUGAUUAAUUUGUUUUUAAUUUGAGAGGACAGCUCACUUACGGCAGAAAAGACAGCAAAAAUACACAAGUACGUUUCUAG